UCUUUUUUUUUUUCUUUUUUUUCUUUUUUGUAAUGCCCCAGUUGGCUGUUCUGCUGAUUCUCGAGAUGCAGCUGAGUGAUCUUCUUUUCUUGCUCAAGAAGUCGGGAAAUCUCGUCAGGAAUCCUUUCAACAUCAUCUUCCUCUACUUCGAAUACAGGGAAUUCAAAAUUGGGAGAUGGCGUUGGAUCAUUAUGUUCAAUGGGUUUAAGAAUCAACCUGCAUA
This 223-nucleotide long non-coding RNA is filed under the name Lathyrus oleraceus (garden pea). RNAcentral describes it as "Pisum sativum (pea) long non-coding RNA (PSAT_LNC006789)". The record is from RNAcentral. Lineage: Eukaryota; Viridiplantae; Streptophyta; Magnoliopsida; Fabales; Fabaceae.